RNAcentral lists this ribosomal RNA (253 nucleotides) under uncultured bacterium. RNAcentral's name for it is "partial 16S ribosomal RNA". It matches the Rfam family "Bacterial small subunit ribosomal RNA", at positions 524 to 776 of the family's 1533-position model. The record is from RNAcentral.
GACGUAGGGGGCCAGCGUUGCUCGGAAUUACUGGGCGUAAAGGGUGCGUAGGCGGGUCUUUAAGUCAGGGGUGAAAUCCUGGAGCUCAACUCCAGAACUGCCUUUGAUACUGAAGAUCUUGAGUUCGGGAGAGGUGAGUGGAACUGCGAGUGUAGAGGUGAAAUUCGUAGAUAUUCGCAAGAACACCAGUGGCGAAGGCGGCUCACUGGCCCGAUACUGACGCUGAUGCACGAAAGCGUGGGGAGCAAACAGG